AGUCAUUGGAGGGUCUCCUGCUGCCAUGGUAAUUGGAAUUUUUUUUUCUAAAAAGAACAGCUAUAUUGAGGUAUAGUUCACAUAGCAUAAACUGAGGGAGGAGAGCACUGUUACUACCAGGGCCAUAUCCGAGGAAACCCUGACUCAUUUGUUGCAUUGUCAACAUGCCACGGACUUCACGGGAUGUUCUAUGACGGGAACCACACAUAUCUCAUUGAGCCAGAAGAAAAUGACACUACUCAAGAGGAUUUCCAUUUUCAUUCAGUUUACAAAUCCAGACUGUUUGAAUUUUCCUUGGAUGAUCUUCCAUCUGAAUUUCAACAAGUAAACAUUACUCCACCAAAAUUUAUUUUGAAGCCAAGACCAAAAAGGAGUAAACGGCAGCUUCGUCGAUAUCCUCGUAAUGUAGAAGAAGAAACCAAAUACAUUGAACUGAUGAUUGUGAAUGAUCACCUUAUGUUUAAAAAACAUCGGCUUUCCGUUGUACAUACCAAUACCUAUGCGAAAUCUG
Molecule: small RNA, 511 nt
Filed under: Pan troglodytes (chimpanzee)
Lineage: Eukaryota; Metazoa; Chordata; Mammalia; Primates; Hominidae
Description: processed transcript
Source: RNAcentral